This 253-nucleotide ribosomal RNA is filed under the name uncultured bacterium. RNAcentral describes it as "partial 16S ribosomal RNA". It matches the Rfam family "Bacterial small subunit ribosomal RNA", at positions 524 to 776 of the family's 1533-position model. The record is from RNAcentral.
UACGUAUGGUGCAAGCGUUAUCCGGAUUUACUGGGUGUAAAGGGAGCGUAGGCGGCGCGUUAAGUCUGAUGUGAAAACCCGAGGCUCAACCGCGGGAGUGCAUUGGAAACUGGCGGGCUGGAGUGCCGGAGAGGUAAGCGGAAUUCCUAGUGUGGCGGUGAAAUGCGUAGAUAUUAGGAGGAACACCAGUGGCGAAGGCGGCUUACUGGACUGUAACUGACGUUGAGGCUCGAAAGCGUGGGGAGCAAACAGG